UGGUGGUGGUCAGGCCCUGGAAGAAACCCUGCGGGCCUUCGUUCUUCAUGAUGGAUUUCACCACAGACCACACCGAGCUGCAGGGAGAGGACGCAGAGACCUUCCUAACCUCAAGAAUGAGGAAUUGUUUUCAAUGCUUGGACAAGAAUCUGGCAAAGGAGCUUCAAGAGACCCGGAAGACUGCUUCCAGGAGUGCACGAAGAACUGGCGGACAAGGCUGGGAAAAGUCCGACUUCAGGGCGAUUACUUCCAAAGUGUAGCGUCAAUGGAUGACUGAAUGAAUGGGCAAUGAUAACGGCGCUGCGGAUCAGAAUAAUAAUAGACGAUGUCGCAGCACAUCUUUGUCGACAAGCUUUCAGGAGGUCUCUCUCUGCUCCAUUUGCAGGUACCAAAG
Long non-coding RNA from Hippocampus zosterae (dwarf seahorse), 394 nucleotides. RefSeq lists it as uncharacterized. The transcript has 3 exons. NCBI's taxonomy places the organism in Eukaryota, Metazoa, Chordata, Actinopteri, Syngnathiformes, Syngnathidae. The record is from RefSeq and is a predicted model, not a curated record.